RNAcentral lists this small RNA (581 nucleotides) under Pan troglodytes (chimpanzee). RNAcentral's name for it is "retained intron". The record is from RNAcentral. Lineage: Eukaryota; Metazoa; Chordata; Mammalia; Primates; Hominidae.
UCUUUCACUGCAAGGCGGCGGCAGGAGCGGUUGUGGUGCUGGUUUCUCUAAGCCAUCCAGUGCCAUCCUCGUCGCUGCAGCGACACACGCGCUCGCCGCCGCCAUGACUGAGCAGAUGACCCUUCGUGGCACCCUCAAGGGCCACAACGGCUGGGUAACCCAGAUCGCUACUACACCGCAGUUCCCGGACAUGAUCCUCUCCGCCUCUCGAGAUAAAACCAUCAUCAUGUGGAAGCUGACCAGGGAUGAGACCAACUAUGGAAUUCCACAGCGUGCUCUGCGGGGUCACUCCCACUUUGUUAGUGAUGUGGUUAUCUCCUCAGAUGGCCAGUUUGCCCUCUCAGGCUCCUGGGAUGGAACCCUGCGCCUCUGGGAUCUCACAACGGGCACCACCACGAGGCGAUUUGUGGGCCAUACCAAGGAUGUGCUGAGUGUGGCCUUCUCCUCUGACAACCGGCAGAUUGUCUCUGGAUCUCGAGAUAAAACCAUCAAGCUAUGGAAUACCCUGGGUGUGUGCAAAUACACUGUCCAGGUAAAGUGAGCCAUCUCCAAGGAUCUCUUCCACCCUCUUAACCUUUGCC